Molecule: ribosomal RNA, 500 nt
Filed under: uncultured bacterium
Lineage: Bacteria
Description: partial 16S ribosomal RNA
Rfam family: Bacterial small subunit ribosomal RNA
Source: RNAcentral
AUUGAACGCUGGCGGAAUGCUUUACACAUGCAAGUCGAACGGCAGCACGGACUUCGGUCUGGUGGCGAGUGGCGAACGGGUGAGUAAUGUAUCGGAACGUGCCCAGUCGUGGGGGAUAACGUAGUGAAAAUUACGCUAAUACCGCAUACGAUCUAUGGAUGAAAGCGGGGGAUCGCAAGACCUCGCGCGAUUGGAGCGGCCGAUAUCAGAUUAGGUAGUUGGUGGGGUAAAGGCCCACCAAGCCAACGAUCUGUAGCUGGCCUGAGAGGACGACCAGCCACACUGGAACUGAGACACGGUCCAGACUCCUACGGGAGGCAGCAGAGGGGAAUUUUGGACAAUGGGCGAAAGCCUGAUCCAGCCAUUCCGCGUGCAGGAUGAAGGCCCUCGGGUUGUAAACUGCUUUUGUACAGAACGAAAAGGUUUCUACUAAUACUAGGAGCUCAUGACGGUACUGUAAGAAUAAGCACCGGCUAACUACGUGCCAGCAGCCGCUGUAA